UAAUCGUCAAAUGGACAAAUCGGAAUACGGAAUACUAAAUUACUUGCACGGUUCAUGUGAUGAAUCUGUGGUAAAACAAUCAAUAAUUGAUGGAGUAUUAUUAUAUAAUUAUGAAUUGAAAUAAAUCGUAUGAAUAUUUAUCGAAGAAAUUUUUUAAUUUAUUUAAAUCAUACGGUGGCACAAAAUCCGUCAAAAAUCCCAGCUCACCGGAACAAUAUUAAAAUAUAAUUUAACGUAAAAAAGAUAUUACGAAUCGAUCGAAUCCCGAGUUACUCGACCAACGAUAAUAAAUUUUUUACUACGAUAUAAACAUUUAUAUUUUCCAGAAAUUAAUUUUUCCUAAUUAUCGUAUUUGCGAAAAAGAUACGUACAACAGAUAGGCGAUAUGUACUCGCUGUGUAGAUCAAUAGUGAAAAAUGGGAAGAAAGCAAUUAAUUUUAGAAAGGAUUAAUUUUAGAAAGCAUUUUUAUUUUUAUUAUCGGAUCGUAUAUGUAGGUCGUAUUUCGAUAUUUCGAUUAAACGUUCGUCCAAACGAUGCUACAUCGACCAUUGAUAUUUUUAAACGAACGUAACAGUUGUUCUAUCUUAAAAUAGAUAGUCGAACGAUUUUACUUUCUUUUUUAAAGAAAUCGUAUUCGUUUCACGCUUGUUAUUUAAAUAAUAAAACAGUUCGAUGAAGUAUACAACGAACGUUUUCGCAUCAAAUUUAACGAGAUUAUAUGCAACAUUUGGCGCGGCCAAGUAUAAAAUAACGUGAAAUGGAGCCGCGCACGAUUUGCGCUCAUUGCUGCGGAUACGAUACGAUACGAUAAAAUACGGUAAAAUUAGGGGAAAAUUUUUGCAAACAUUACGCGUAAUAAUUUUUAAGGUCGUACGAUAUUCGAUCAGAGGAUUUCUAUUCCGAGAAAUGAAAUAUCGAAAGAGGAAAAAGCGCAUUGUUGGCUUAAAUUAUUCGUUCAAAAUAGACGGGAAGAAUUUUUAUCGAGGGACGAUAUACACGAUUACGAGGAAAUAAGUUAAUCCAGGAGGAAGGAGUGAAUAGGAGCGCAUAACCGUCCGUGCCAAGAGUCGCACACGAUGGUGGAAUGUAAAUGGGAAAUUCGGUGAGAUCUUUCUUCGUAAUGAACACGGUUACGUUGCAAGUUGUUGGUUGGCGUGCUACUUUACCUUGUGCAUUUUACGGUAUUCUCGCGUUAAUGCGAUAAGAGAGAGCAGUCUCGGUCGAGCAUACCUAUAAUUUAAAUUGUCCGCCUUCUCGUCGCUCGCUAAUGCGAGGUGAUACUUAAAGCGGAACAAUCGCCACCACGCCGAUAAUUUUCGUUUCACCUUCGUCCUCGAAUCUCGCGUCCCUGCGAAAUUUCAUCUUCGAAUCAUCGAACGUGUUAUCGCGAGAGAAGAGAAAAAAAAAAAUUGACGCGAUCGAUAUCACUCGAACAGAUUUAUCCGUGGAACGGAAAUAGGGAAACGAUAUUUUAUCAUUUUAUCGAGUGACGGUAAAUAUUAACGCAAACUCCCUUGGAUGAUAUACAUACAUUUCCGCAUUCCCGGUUUCCGAAGUUUCUCGCUCGAGAUAAGAUAACCGUACACGAUAUACUUAAUAUAACCUUCGGUUGCAACCUGCUGUCCCUUAUUCGACGUUUCAGCAAUAAGGAUAACAACGGAGAAUAUACGUUGCUUAGAAAACUGUCCCGUUUUCUCCAAUGUCGUAACAAAUAUAUAUAUAUAUAUAAUAAAAGCUUCAAUUUUCAAUCUCGAACCAUUUUACCUUCAGAGGCACGUUUCCAAAAACAAUUCCGAAACUUUAUCGAUAUUGCAAUUCCCACCAGUGUAAUAACGUUACAUAAAUUUAGCUUUCGAGUGUACGAGAUAUUUAUCAAUAAGAAACAUCGAUAUUUUAAGAUUCUUUACAGUUUACGCAAAGUUUAUUACUACGAAGACAAGAAGAAGUACUUUAUUCCAAUAUCUCGUUAACGAUCGAACGUCUCGAUCAAAUUAUUAUUUUCUUGGGUAAUUCCGUGUAUCAAAAGUAUUUUUCAGUUCGAUAACUCAAUCGGUAUUUUUCACUUAAGAAGAAAAAAUCGAAACGAUUCGAAAUAUUGGAAUCUAAAUAGAAUUAUUUUCUUAGAAACGAAGAACGAUGGUGAAUGGUGAAUUAUGUCGUCGUCUCGGUGAGAUUGGCGAGGCGCGAAGCGCGUUAUCGGAACGCGUACAAUUGGACGUUGAAGUCGGUGGUCGUUUAUAGUCGGCCACUUGGAAGAAAUCUUUUUCUCUAGGAGGAGAAGCGAGACUUUAACGAGCUAACGGAACCAAGAGUUCGGAAUCGGGUCCUUAAAUAUCUUGGCUGCCUAUCCAGAUACCUAUCCAGCUUUUCCGUAUCAACGAGUAAACGAUUUCGAACCAACAGUUCUCUAUUUCAUGUCACGGAGAAAAGUUUCCAAUCGCGGAAACCUUUCGUAGUCGAUACCUUUCACCUUAUAUUUAUCUUUACUCUGAUAAAAACGAACGCUCGCAAAUUUUCGCCAUGCGUAUUCAUCUCGACUUUUUCGCAAAUUAUAUAGAUGUAGAUGUAGAUUUCAUUGCUGGAAAAAAACGAAUUCGUCGUCCCUCGAGUCCCUAUCUUUGUUUCGGCUACUUUUUCUAUAAACGAGACUAACUCUUCUUCUUUGUCCGCAGAUCGGAUAACGCUAAUUACGCCAGUACAUUAGAAGAGUGGAAGUUCCGGAAAUAAAGCGCACCCGUCCACAUUUACCUCUGGCAAUGCCUAUCGCGUAGGUAGACGCGGCUGUCCUAAUUACCUACGGCUCGGCGAGACGCCUUCUUGUCUGCAUAUAUUCCAUGUAACGACGAGUCUUUCGAGAAGAAGGAAAAAAAGAAAGAACUACGAAGCAAGCGAUAUUUAUAAAUCGCAGAAUACACUCUAUCUCUUGUUACGUAAUAUGAAAUUGAAUAAAAUUUGUAUGCUCGC
Long non-coding RNA from Apis cerana (Asiatic honeybee), 2965 nucleotides. RefSeq lists it as uncharacterized. The record is from RefSeq and is a predicted model, not a curated record. Lineage: Eukaryota; Metazoa; Arthropoda; Insecta; Hymenoptera; Apidae.